This 374-nucleotide ribosomal RNA is filed under the name uncultured organism. Its description in RNAcentral is "partial 16S ribosomal RNA". It matches the Rfam family "Bacterial small subunit ribosomal RNA", at positions 526 to 896 of the family's 1533-position model. The record is from RNAcentral.
GAAGGUGGGCGAGCGUUGUUCGGAAUCACUGGGCUUAAAGCGCGCGUAGGCGGAAUGGGAUAGUGUCUUGUGAAAGCCCCCGGCUUAACCGGGGAAUUGCUUGGCAUACUUCCCAUUCUUGAGGUAAGUAGGGGUACAUGGAACUCUUGGUGGAGCGGUGGAAUGCGUAGAUAUCAAGAGGAACGCCAAUGGUGAAGACAGUGUACUGGGCUUAUUCUGACGCUGAGGUGCGAAAGCGUGGGGAGCGAACGGGAUUAGAUACCCCGGUAGUCCACGCCGUAAACGAUGUCUACUAGGUUGUGGAGGUUCUGACACCCUCACAGUCGAAGCAAAAGUGUUAAGUAGACCGCCUGGGAAGUACGGUCGCAAGGCUA